GAUGAACGCUGGCGGCGUGCUUAACACAUGCAAGUCGAACGAUGAAGCCCAGCUUGCUGGGUGGAUUAGUGGCGAACGGGUGAGUAACACGUGAGUAACCUGCCCUUAACUCUUGGAUAAGCCUGGGAAACUGGGUCUAAUACCGGAUAGGAGCGUCCACCGCAUGGUGGGUGUUGGAAAGAUUUGUCGGUUUUGGAUGGACUCGCGGCCUAUCAGCUUGUUGGUGAGGUAGUGGCUCACCAAGGCGACGACGGGUAGCCGGCCUGAGAGGGUGACCGGCCACACUGGGACUGAGACACGGCCCAGACUCCUACGGGAGGCAGCAGUGGGGAAUAUUGCACAAUGGGCGGAAGCCUGAUGCAGCAACGCCGCGUGAGGGAUGACGGCCUUCGGGUUGUAAACCGCUUUCGGUAGGGAAGAAGCGAGAGUGACGGUACCUGCAGAAGAAGCACCGGCUAACUACGUG
RNAcentral lists this ribosomal RNA (466 nucleotides) under uncultured bacterium. RNAcentral describes it as "partial 16S ribosomal RNA". It matches the Rfam family "Bacterial small subunit ribosomal RNA", at positions 28 to 507 of the family's 1533-position model. The record is from RNAcentral.